Molecule: long non-coding RNA, 268 nt
Filed under: Lathyrus oleraceus (garden pea)
Lineage: Eukaryota; Viridiplantae; Streptophyta; Magnoliopsida; Fabales; Fabaceae
Description: Pisum sativum (pea) long non-coding RNA (PSAT_LNC013708)
Source: RNAcentral
AAGGACUCGCUCUGGACAUUAAUGACGUGUGUAAAUUUGUUAGAUAAGGGAGAGGUAAUCCACAAUUACUCCCAAAAGGAUAGGUGGUCAAUAACUUCCCCUGAUCAGGAGGGAGCAAUUGUUGCCACUAAGGGUUAAUCAAACUUUGAGCCCAAAAGGCCUAUAUAAAUACACCUCCCUUAGAGGAGGAAAUGAGAGAUCACAACUCAUACUAAUCAUACCCCCAUACGCUUACACCCAAGCAUAUCAUUCAUCCGCAAAGCCUUUU